RNAcentral lists this unclassified non-coding RNA (334 nucleotides) under soil metagenome. Its description in RNAcentral is "partial contains 5.8S ribosomal RNA, internal transcribed spacer 2, and large subunit ribosomal RNA". The stretch from base 1 to 120 matches the Rfam family "5.8S ribosomal RNA", at positions 35 to 154 of the family's 154-position model. The record is from RNAcentral.
GAUGAAGAACGUAGCGAAAUGCGAUAAGUAAUGUGAAUUGCAGGAUUCAGUGAAUCAUCGAAUCUUUGAACGCACAUUGCGCCCGCCAGUAUUCUGGCGGGCAUGCCUGUUCGAGCGUCAUUUCAACCAUCAAGCCCUGCUUGCGUUGGGGUCCUGCGGCUGCCCGCAGGCCCUGAAAACCAGUGGCGGGCUCGCUAGUCACACCGAGCGCAGUAAUACAUCUCGCUUUGGGCGUGCGGCGGGUUCUUGCCGUUAAACACCCCCUUUUUACCAAGGUUGACCUCGGAUCAGGUAGGAAUACCCGCUGAACUUAAGCAUAUCAAUAAGCGGAGGA